Molecule: ribosomal RNA, 212 nt
Filed under: uncultured Staphylococcus sp.
Lineage: Bacteria; Bacillati; Bacillota; Bacilli; Caryophanales; Staphylococcaceae
Description: partial 16S ribosomal RNA
Rfam family: Bacterial small subunit ribosomal RNA
Source: RNAcentral
ACCUAUAAGACUGGGAUAACUUCGGGAAACCGGAGCUAAUACCGGAUAAUAUUUUGAACCGCAUGGUUCAAAAGUGAAAGACGGUCUUGCUGUCACUUAUAGAUGGAUCCGCGCUGCAUUAGCUAGUUGGUAAGGUAACGGCUUACCAAGGCAACGAUGCAUAGCCGACCUGAGAGGGUGAUCGGCCACACUGGAACUGAGACACGGUCCAG